RNAcentral lists this ribosomal RNA (468 nucleotides) under uncultured bacterium. Its description in RNAcentral is "partial 16S ribosomal RNA". It matches the Rfam family "Bacterial small subunit ribosomal RNA", at positions 28 to 507 of the family's 1533-position model. The record is from RNAcentral.
GACGAACGCUGGCGGCGUGCUUAACACAUGCAAGUCGAACGGAAAUGCCCUGCUUUUGUGGGGUGCUCGAGUGGCGAACGGGUGAGUAACACGUGAGUAACCUGCCCUUGACUUUGGGAUAACUUCAGGAAACUGGGGCUAAUACCGGAUAGGAGCUCCUGCUGCAUGGUGGGGGUUGGAAAGUUUCGGCGGUUGGGGAUGGACUCGCGGCUUAUCAGCUUGUUGGUGGGGUAGUGGCUUACCAAGGCUUUGACGGGUAGCCGGCCUGAGAGGGUGACCGGCCACAUUGGGACUGAGAUACGGCCCAGACUCCUACGGGAGGCAGCAGUGGGGAAUAUUGCACAAUGGGCGGAAGCCUGAUGCAGCAACGCCGCGUGCGGGAUGACGGCCUUCGGGUUGUAAACCGAUUUCGCCUGUGAUGAAGCGUGAGUGACGGUAAUGGGUAAAGAAGCACCGGCUAACUACGUG